UUGCCGAAGGCAGCGAGCGCAGGAGCUGACAAGGCUCGGUCUUCACUGUGCCCGCAGAAACAGCCCCAAGCUUACAUCUGGAAGGGGAGGAAGGGGAAGGACUGAAGGCUGAGUGUUGGUUUAUCAGGGGAUCUUACAAAGCAGCUUCCUGCUGCAGAACACACUUGAAAACACUGAGCCUUUACUACAAAUUCACACACGCACACAUUUUUUAAACGUUUGCUGAGGCUGUCCGUAGGACCCAGCUAAGCCUGACCUCCACAGGCCUUUCAGUGGCAGAAACAGCGAUUUCCCCUGAGUAGUAGUUCAGUUCUGCAUUUGCUGUCUUUGUGAGAUAAUGGCAGAAGGGGUUUUUUCCAGACUCUAAAGGAUGGCUUACAAUUUUAAUUAGAACACCUCAAACAAUUUCAUGCAAGAGCCAUCAAAGCAAAGCAGAAACGGACACACUGGCGUCAGAAAAUUUCAUUGCGUUAGCAGUGGUUCCUGGGCUGAGAAGUAGUCCCUGCAAGAACGCAGAGCCUGUGGUGAGAUACAGCAGUAUAAACAAGGUGUCUCUUCCUUUCCUGCUUGGAUGGGUUUCAUCUCGCCGCCUUGAAGCUGCCUACAAGCCAGCACUGCAAGACUGCUAGACUUACUUCCCAGUUGGUUCAGAGAUUGAAAAGCUGGUGACCUUCUGCCUUCAGCACAGAAGUGGUGUGUUUGGUGGAGCUGCUGGAGAGACAAGGAUGAACUUCCCAUAGGAAUCAAGAGGCAUAAAGGGAUGCUUCUAGAUGCCCAACUGGCUACAUUCUUGUUCAACUCAUCCUCGAAGACUGCUGAGAUUUAGCUGUAUUAUUAAUGAUAAGUUACAGUGCCUGGAGACAUGGAUGAAUAAUAACUAAAAAGGUCUAUUUGACA
Grus americana (Whooping crane) is the source of this 897-nucleotide long non-coding RNA. RefSeq lists it as uncharacterized. Lineage: Eukaryota; Metazoa; Chordata; Aves; Gruiformes; Gruidae. The transcript is spliced from 3 exons. The record is from RefSeq and is a predicted model, not a curated record.